GCCGCCAUAGCUCAGUUGGUAGAGCAGCGGACUGAAAAUCCGCGUGUCACUAGUUCAAAUCUUGUUGGCGGCA
Molecule: transfer RNA, 73 nt
Filed under: Chthonomonadaceae bacterium
Lineage: Bacteria; Bacillati; Armatimonadota; Chthonomonadia; Chthonomonadales; Chthonomonadaceae
Rfam family: tRNA
About the family: Transfer RNA (tRNA) molecules are approximately 80 nucleotides in length. Their secondary structure includes four short double-helical elements and three loops (D, anti-codon, and T loops).
Source: Rfam by way of RNAcentral